RNAcentral lists this ribosomal RNA (253 nucleotides) under uncultured bacterium. Its description in RNAcentral is "partial 16S ribosomal RNA". It matches the Rfam family "Bacterial small subunit ribosomal RNA", at positions 524 to 776 of the family's 1533-position model. The record is from RNAcentral.
UACGUAGGGGGCUAACGUUGUCCGGAAUCAUUGGGCGUAAAGCGCGUGUAGGCGGUCCGGUAAGUCCGCUGUGAAAGUCGGGGGCUCAACCCUCGGAUGCCGGUGGAUACUGUCGGGCUUGAGUACGGAAGAGGCGAGUGGAAUUCCUGGUGUAGCGGUGAAAUGCGCAGAUAUCAGGAGGAACACCAAUUGCGAAGGCAGCUCGCUGGGACGUUACUGACGCUGAGACGCGAAAGCGUGGGGAGCAAACAGG